This is a long non-coding RNA of Bos taurus (domestic cattle), 664 nucleotides long. The record is from Ensembl. NCBI's taxonomy places the organism in Eukaryota, Metazoa, Chordata, Mammalia, Artiodactyla, Bovidae.
GCCCACUACUGUGUGCAGGCUGCCCUCAGUCAAAAGAUAUGCAGAUUUUUAUGAGCUAUUAUAAGAUAUUGAGUAUAGUCCCCCAUGCUAUACAGAGAAACUGAGACCCAGAGAGGCAUAUGCACAAAGUCCAUGAAUCGCUUGUUAUCCAUUCAGUCACACAUUAGUGGACACAUCUUAUAUGCCAGCCAUAUGGUGGGAAGUUCAAGGAUGAAUCAUACAUGGAAAACUCCACUGGAAUUAGGACUCAGGACUCCUCACUUCAAGCACAAAGUUCUUUCCUUCCACUGAAGGCAGGCUGUUAGAAUGACCUCUGCUCCCUUUGGAUUUUGAAGUAGAAGACCAUUUAAAACCUUGUUGCCCACCCAACAUCCCACUCUCAGAGCUUCACUUACCAUCAAGGGCUCACUUAUACACCAACUAGACUAAUAACCCGGAGAAGGCAAUGGCACCCCACUCCAGUAGUCUUGCCUGGAAAAUCCCAUGUACGGGGAAGCCUGGUAGGCUGCAGUCCAUGGGGUCGCUGAGGGUCGCACACAACUGAGCGACUUCACUUUCACUUUUCACUUUCAUGCAUUGGAGAAGGACAUGGCAACCCACUCCAGUGUUCUUGCCUGGAGAAUCCCAGGGACGGGGAAGCCUGGUGGGCUGCCGUCUAUGGGGU